Molecule: long non-coding RNA, 2631 nt
Organism: Drosophila montana
Lineage: Eukaryota; Metazoa; Arthropoda; Insecta; Diptera; Drosophilidae
Exons: 4
Source: RefSeq, a predicted model, not a curated record
AAUCGAUACGAUAAUUUAUACCCAAAGAGUAGAGCGUGCUAACAGGAAUCGGGAUUCGGGCUCAGGUCUUCCUGCUCUGAUAUUGGUCUAGAUCUGGAGGUCAGCUCUAUGUCGUAUCGUUCGAUGCGCUUCCAGAUACGUCUGACUUUCAGGCGUGAACGCAGCCGACUAUAUCUUGGCCCCAGCUCAGAUAAGUGCACAAAUACAUAUAUAUAUAUAUGAGUAUAUACAUAUAUAUAUGUGCAUAUACGGCAUACAUAUAUCUGGGGGCAAUAACAGCUGAAAGUCGAAGCCCGAACCGAGACGCAAAUCGUUCGGUCGCGCGAUUUGUUCACAUCGUUUUUCGGAUAUCAUUUUUGUUAUUUAUUUCAAAAUACUCAAAAGUGCACAAACUCGAGCACCUGUUAUUGUUAGAUUUGUAUAAAUAUAUUGUGCCUUGAUAUGAUGUCUAAUAGAUACGAACGACAAGUAUGCACAUCACAAGAUCAGAUAGUUAGGAUCGUCGGGGAACCGUCUGAUAAUAAUUUAGACAAUUUCUAAAGCUUCACCUAACAAAAUCAACAUUAUUUUAAAGGUAAAUCAUAUUUUAAGCUUGAAAUACAAUAAAAAAAGAAUAUUCAUGGAGCCUCAAAGAAUUUGUCAAUCUAAGGAUCUACGUUUCCAAUUUAAAGAAAUAUAAUAUUAAGGAAAAAUAUCAAUUAAUGCAAAUAUCUAAAUGAUCUAAUAACAGAGAAUUAUGUAAAUAUGUAAAUAAUAGCAGAUGUUUCGAUAUCGUCAUACUAACUGAAAUUUGAUAAUUAUAUAUCUAAGAACUCAUUUAAUAUUAAAUAACUUUUUACAGCCCUCUCAGUUGUCUUUCAGGUUUGUGUUCAAUCAAAUCUAAAUUACCAACUUUAUAAAUACAUAUAUUCAAUAAUGUUUUUGUUUUUGUUUUUGUUUCUUUCACAAUUUGGCAACACUUUCGAGCGCCUUCUAACUCAGCGUGUGAUCACUGUAAUUACAAUGGUGAUGUGAUGAAUGAGAAUAACUCCUGCGCAGAUGAGUCAGCAUCGUGUUUGGCAUUGGAGCAAAGUUUGAAAGGCUUUUUAUGCACGCAUACACAUGCACUGGCACACAUACAGCUGUAGUUUUCAACUUUAACUUGAAAGGUUAACAUUGGCGCACUAAUCUUUGGAGUGAAUGUGUAUAACAAAAACAACAACAACAACAACAACAACAACGAAGAGAACAGCAGAUAAUUGCGGAGUGAGGUAAAGUGAUUGGAAUUGCGAUAAGCCGACGCCACUUUGUAGGUGACCCUUUUGGCUGAAGAAUACAAUUUGAAGGGCGUUCUUGGCGCACUCUCUCUCUCUCUCUCUCUCUCUCUCACACACACACACACACACGCAAUGUGGCCCACCUGUUGCGCUUACCACCUUUCACACAAACCCCCUUCCCCAGCCCAUUUCCACACACGCUAUUGCAUUCAUUGAGGAUCGCGCAUAUCGUAAGCGUAUAUCGUAUUUGACUUGCUACUUACCCAUUUUUAACAUGGAUGACUCUCCUCUGUUAGCUGAGCGAAAUUAUUUGUUUACGUAUUUUGUUGACAGCUUUGCUUAAAGUAUUUAUAUAUUUUGUAAUUUUAGCAAAUAACAAAAAUAAUGCCGCUUGCUGUGUUUGUAUGCUUCUUCGGGUUGCGGUAAUUAAGGCUAAAACAAUUUGUCAAGCUUUUGACCAAUAAUUUAAAUAAAGGUCAAGUCUACAAAAGUGUGAUUUCAGCUUCGGUUGGCAACACGCACACACACACACACACACGCACACACACACACACACACGCACACAGCUGCACUUGCACGCAAGCGCAACGUGAACGAGGUUUUUAUAUGUAUAUAUGUAUGUAUAUAUUUUUUUUGUUUUUUGUGUUUUUGUUGUUGCUUUUUUAAAUCACAGUCAGUGCGAAGUCUUGUUGGUUGUUUGAAAGUUUUUUUAUUUAUUUAUUUGAGCGCCGCCAGAGCCCUCAAAAAGAAACGAUAUGUAGCUUAACACGAUCGCAGCGCGAAUGCGCCAAAGCAAAUGUACAAAGCGCACAUGAAGCAGCGGCAAUGGGCAAUGCCAGCAGCAAUAACAACAACAACAGCAACAGCAACAAUACAAGCGCACGCCUUGUAAAAACAACAACCAAGAAGAAGAAAAAAAAAAAACAAAAAAAGAGAGCGCACAAACUUUUGAUAUUUUCAGUUUGAAUGCGGCAGUUGUGGCCAAUGUGCCGGUUCUCUGUUGUGCAUAACAGCACACACACACACACACACACACACGAAAGCACACACAUACUGAGACACACGCCCACACACAGCAGUGUGUCAGUGUGUGCCAACUCAUUCUCAAAUUGAGAGCCGUGGAGUAGCCAGUGUUGCCACAAAGUAUAAACAACAAAAAUGCUUUUCAAAUUGUAAAAUACGCCCAUUCUGCAGAGUCAUGCUUGUGAUUACAUUUACAUGGACCUAGACCUAACAAAUGUAUGCAUACAUAUGUUUGUACGUAUAAACAACAGUUGUACAGUGCACUCACCUGUUCUACGCAGUGAAAGCUCAAAAUGAUAAGCAAAAAUGGAUGUAAUAAAAUGAUUAUAAUUUGAUUGAAAAAUGUAAACAA